CGGAGGGUGCAAGCGUUAUCCGGAUUCACUGGGGUUAAAGGGUGCGUAGGUGGGCAGGUAAGUCAGUGGUGAAAUCUCCGGGCUUAACCCGGAAACUGCCAUUGAUACUAUCUGUCUUGAAUACCCUGGAGGUGAGCGGAAUAUGUCAUGUAGCGGUGAAAUGCUUAGAUAUGACAUAGAACACCCAUUGCGAAGGCAGCUCACUACGGGAAUAUUGACACUGAGGCACGAAAGCGUGGGGAUCAAACAGGAUUAGAUACCCUGGUAGUCCACGCCCUAAACUAUGGAUACUCGACAUCAGCGAUAAACUGUUGGUGUCUGAGCGAAAGCAUUAAGUAUCCCACCUGGGAAGUACGAUCGCAAGAUUG
This 368-nucleotide ribosomal RNA is filed under the name uncultured organism. RNAcentral's name for it is "bacterial SSU rRNA". It matches the Rfam family "Bacterial small subunit ribosomal RNA", at positions 526 to 896 of the family's 1533-position model. The record is from RNAcentral.